UAAGACAGAGGUGGCAAGCGUUGUUCGGAAUUACUGGGCUUAAAGGGCGCGUAGGUGGUGAUAUAAGUCCGAGGUGGAAGGCUGAGGCUUAACCUCAGAAUUGCCUUGGAUACUGUAUGACUUGAGUCAGCAAGGGGAUGGCGGAAUUCCAGGUGUAGCGGUGAAAUGCGUAGAUAUCUGGAGGAAGGCCGGUGGCGAAGGCGGCCAUCUGGUGCUGAACUGACACUGAGGCGCGAAAGCGUGGGGAGCAAACAGGAUUAGAUACCCUGGUAGUCCACGCCCUAAACGGUGAGUACUAGGUGUAGGGCUCGUAAGGGUUCUGUGCCGAAGGGAAACCAUUAAGUACUCCGCCUGGGAAGUACGGCCGCAAGGUUGAAACUUAAAGGAAUUGACGG
RNAcentral lists this ribosomal RNA (395 nucleotides) under uncultured bacterium. RNAcentral's name for it is "bacterial SSU rRNA". It matches the Rfam family "Bacterial small subunit ribosomal RNA", at positions 521 to 916 of the family's 1533-position model. The record is from RNAcentral.